UACGAAGGGGGCUAGCGUUGCUCGGAAUUACUGGGCGUAAAGCGCACGUAGGCGGCUUUCUAAGUCGGGGGUGAAAUCCUGGAGCUCAACUCCAGAACUGCCUUCGAUACUGGAGAGCUCGAGUCCGGGAGAGGUGAGUGGAACUGCGAGUGUAGAGGUGAAAUUCGUAGAUAUUCGCAAGAACACCAGUGGCGAAGGCGGCUCACUGGCCCGGUACUGACGCUGAG
RNAcentral lists this ribosomal RNA (227 nucleotides) under uncultured bacterium. RNAcentral's name for it is "partial 16S ribosomal RNA". It matches the Rfam family "Bacterial small subunit ribosomal RNA", at positions 524 to 750 of the family's 1533-position model. The record is from RNAcentral.